GAUGAACGCUGGCGGCGUGCCUAAUACAUGCAAGUCGAGCGAACAGAUGAGGAGCUUGCUCCUCUGACGUUAGCGGCGGACGGGUGAGUAACACGUGGAUAACCUACCUAUAAGACUGGGAUAUCUACGGGAAACCGGAGCUAAUACCGGAUAAUAUAUUGAACCGCAUGGUUCAAUAGUGAAAGACGGUUUUGCUGUCACUUAUAGAUGGAUCCGCGCCGCAUUAGCUAGUUGGUAAGGUAACGGCUUACCAAGGCAACGAUGCGUAGCCGACCUGAGAGGGUGAUCGGCCACACUGGAACUGAGACACGGUCCAGACUCCUACGGGAGGCAGCAGUAGGGAAUCUUCCGCAAUGGGCGAAAGCCUGACGGAGCAACGCCGCGUGAGUGAUGAAGGUCUUCGGAUCGUAAAACUCUGUUAUUAGGGAAGAACAAAUGUGUAAGUAACUAUGCACGUCUUGACGGUACCUAAUCAGAAAGCCACGGCUAACUACGUG
RNAcentral lists this ribosomal RNA (497 nucleotides) under uncultured bacterium. Its description in RNAcentral is "partial 16S ribosomal RNA". It matches the Rfam family "Bacterial small subunit ribosomal RNA", at positions 28 to 507 of the family's 1533-position model. The record is from RNAcentral.